This is a long non-coding RNA of Eleginops maclovinus (Patagonian blennie), 1148 nucleotides long. RefSeq lists it as uncharacterized. NCBI's taxonomy places the organism in Eukaryota, Metazoa, Chordata, Actinopteri, Perciformes, Eleginopidae. The record is from RefSeq and is a predicted model, not a curated record. The transcript has 3 exons.
GACUACGUCACCCAACGUGAAAAGUUAAAUACGCGCGCCAGAAUUUGAUUCGCUGUAAACCUAAAACACUAAUGGCCGUUAGCUAUUUUCAUUGUUACCUUAGCUUUGUUAGCGCCAAGCCGACAGAGGACAAGAAGCUCUGCCUCGACCAUGGGAAGAUUAGACAUCUCCUGACAUUCAUCGUCCAGUUUCCCAUUGUUCACGCUGCCUACAUCUGUUUGGGGGUAACCUGCCAUCCAUCAAUGCCAAAUGACUGUGUUUUAUACAUCUAUACUUUCCUGCCUGUUGGGACUUUACCUGCACUGGCAAAGAGGAAGAGAGUCUACAGCAUUUCCCCAAGGAUAUGCAUGCAGAGGGCAGGAAACAUCAAUCGGCCACCUUACAUGGCGGAUAUCUGUUGAUAUGACAAGGUUUGUCAAGUGUUUUGAAUCAGAUGAAAUGAAGCAUUCCUCAAAGCUCCUUUUGGCAUUGUUUGUGUUCAAAGAUGCAUCUGUGUGUGUAUGUGGCAAAUCAUAUUAACUUACAUUUUGAUAUAGGUUUAGUUUACCAAGUUAAACAUCUGUCUGUACAGUACUGUCUAUAAUCAUACUGUAUAUUGAGGUUUACAAUAGACUUGCAGCCGUUCCAAACCUGCCCAGUACGUGCAGCAAAUGUCUUAUUUUCCAAUCUGCUGUUGAUGGUUAACAACACAUAUUUAAUGAGAUACCAAUAUUUGGAAAACAAUUUGGUGCACCCCUAGAUGCAGGCUUUGGGAAAGUCUAAGUAACAUAAUAAUGUUUAAUCUUGGUAACAUUCCCUUACCUUACCUGUUCCUUUUCCUUAAUUUGAUCCACCUAAUGUGACUGUAAUGUAACCAAGGAAAAUAGCAAAUGGAAAGUGCAUAUUAUCUUGCCACUCACAAUAAUUGGAUAUAAUAUGUGACAUUAGGAGCCCCAAAUCAUCAUUUGGGUUAGAUGGAGUCAUCUGCAUAUAGUUAUACCACUGAAACCAACAAGGUAUACAUGGCUUCUGUAUUGAUGCCAAGGGCAAGUUGUACUACUGUAGGUAAAGUAUUUUACUGCAUGGUAUUAAUAAUAUGUUUCCAGUGAUGGUAUCAUUAAAAAAAACCAAAUAUGUUUCAUUAUUGGAAAACCCAUUUAUCCAUUGGA